AUACUAUGAUGGUUGCAUAGUUCUGCAGAUUGAAUCAUGGAGAAAUUAACCAUUUGAUGUAUCU
Molecule: small nucleolar RNA, 64 nt
Organism: Nycticebus coucang (slow loris)
Lineage: Eukaryota; Metazoa; Chordata; Mammalia; Primates; Lorisidae
Product: small nucleolar RNA SNORD77
Exons: 1
Source: RefSeq, a predicted model, not a curated record